RNAcentral lists this ribosomal RNA (681 nucleotides) under uncultured nitrite-oxidizing bacterium. RNAcentral describes it as "bacterial SSU rRNA". It matches the Rfam family "Bacterial small subunit ribosomal RNA", at positions 21 to 696 of the family's 1533-position model. The record is from RNAcentral.
GGCUCAGAACGAACGCUGGCGGCGUGCUUAACACAUGCAAGUCGAACGAGAAGAAGUAGCAAUACAUGGAUGAAGUGGCGGACGGGUGAGUAAUACAUAGGUAACCUACCCUCAUGAGGGGGACAACUCAGGGAAACUUGAGCUAAUACCCUAUAAGACCACGGAUUGGGAUGUCAGUGGUAAAAGCUGCACUGUGAGUAAUCCACUUGGGGAUGGGCCUAUGGCCUAUCAGGUAGUUGGUGGGGUAACGGCCCACCAAGCCUAAGACGGGUAGCCGGACUGAGAGGUUGAACGGCCACACUGGAACUGAGACACGGUCCAGACUCCUACGGGAGGCAGCAGUGGGGAAUUUUGCGCAAUGGACGAAAGUCUGACGCAGCGACGCCGCGUGGGGGAUGAAGGUCUUCGGAUUGUAAACCCCUUUCGGGAGGGAAGAUGGAGUGGGUAACCACUUGGACGGUACCUCCAGAAGCAGCCACGGCUAACUUCGUGCCAGCAGCCGCGGUAAUACGAAGGUGGCAAGCGUUGUUCGGAUUCACUGGGCGUACAGGGAGCGUAGGCGGUUGGGUAAGCCCUCCGUGAAAUCUCCGGGCCUAACCCGGAAAGUGCAGAGGGGACUGCUCAGCUAGAGGAUGGGAGAGGAGCGCGGAAUUCCCGGUGUAGCGGUGAAAUGCGUAGAGA